GCCUGGGGUUGUUGUUGAUUGAGCUCUGGUUGUAGUUGUUGGUUCAGCCGUAGAUGUAAGUUGUGUUGUUGUUGUUGUUGUUUCUGUGGAAGGGACUGAGUUUACUGUAACAGUCAUAGAUUCUGUUGUUGCAGAUGCAGGUGAGUUUGUUGAGUCAGGUUUUUGUGUAGGUUUGGCAGUGGUUGUAGACAGAGUUUCAGUUGUUGCUGAGCAGUAUUGUAUCAGCUGUUGUGUCACUUUUAAGCAGAAUUGUGUCGUUUGUGUAGCUGAGCUUGAUGUAACAGUCAUGUUUGUUGUAACCAGGGUUGUAGAUUGAGCUGUACUUGUUGUAGGUAGGUAUGUUGUUGCUGUCUGUGUUGUGGUGCUGUGUUGGGAUGUAAUUGAUUGUUUUGUUGUAGAUGUUAAAACAGUUGUGGUUGUUGGUUCAGCCGUAGAUGUUAAAACAGUUAUGGUUGUUGGUUCAGCUGUAGAUGUAAGUUGUGUUGUUGUUGUUUCUGUAGGAGGGGCUGUAAUUGUAACCCGAGAUGUAGGUGUAGCUGAGUUUGUUGAAAUCAGGGUUGUAGAUUGAGCUGUACUUGUUGUAUGUAGGGAUGUUGUUGCUGUCUGUGUUGUGGUGCUUUGUUCGGGUAUAGUUGAUUUUUCAGUUGUAGAUGUUGACGCAGUUGUGGUUGUUGGUUCAGCUGUAGAUGUAAGUUGUGUGGUUGUUGUUUCUGUAGGAGGGGCUGUAGUUGUAAACAGAGUUGCAGUUGUAGGUGAGUUUGUUGUAACCUCAGUUGUGGAUUGAGCUGUACUUGUUGUAGGUAGGGAUGUUGUUGUUGACUGCAUUGUGGUGCUUUGUUCAGAUGUAGUUGAUUGUUCUGUUGUAGAUGUUAAAACAGUUGUCGUUGUUGGUUCAGCCAUAGAUGUAAGUUGUGUUGUUGUUUCUGUAGGAGGGGCUGUGGUUGUAAACUGAGAUGUACUUGUAAGUGAGUUUGCUGUAACCACGGUUGUAGAUUGAGGUGUAUUUUUUGUAGGUAAGGAUGUUGUUGUUGUCUGCAUUGUGGUGCUUUGUUCAGGUGUUGUUGAUUGUUCAGUUGUAGAUGUUAAAACAGUUGUAGUUGUUGGUUCAGUUGUAGAUCUUAAAACAGUUGUUGUUGUUGGUUUACCCGUAGAUGUAAGUUGUGUUGUUUCUGUAGGAGGGGCUCUAGUUGUAAGCAGAGUUGCAGUUGUAGGUGAGUUUGUUGAAACCUCAGUUGUAGAUUGAGCUGUACUUGUUGUAGGUAUGGAUGUUGUUGCUGUCUGCAUUGUGGUGCUGUGUUCAGAUGUUGUUGAUUGUUCAGUUGUAGAUGUUGCAGCAAUUGUGGUUGUUGGUUCAGCAAUAGAUGUAAGUUUUGUUGUUGUUGUUUCUUUAGGAGGGCCUGUAGUUGUAACUUGAAAUGUAGUUCUUGGUGAGUUUGUUGAAACCUCAGUUGUAGAUUGAGCUAUACUUGUUGUAGGUUGGGAUUUUGUUCCUAUCUGUGUUGUGGUGCUUUGUUCUGAUGUAGUUGAUUGUUCUGUUGUAGAUAUUAAAACAGUUGUGGUUAUUGGUUCAGUUGUAGAUGUUAAAAAAGUUGUGGUUGUUGGUUCAGCCGUAGAUGUAAGUUGUGUUUCUGUUGUUUCUGUUGAAGGGGCUGUAGUUGUAACCUGAGAUGUAGGUAUAGCUGAGUUUGUUGUAACCAGGGUUGUAGAUUGAGCUGUAUUUGUUGUAGGUAGAGUAGUUGUUGCUGUCUGCAUUGUGGUGCUUUGUUCAGAUGUAGUUGAUUGUUCAGUUGUAGACGUUGACGGAGUUGUGGUUGUUGGUUGAGUUGUAGAUGUUAAAACAGUUGUGGUUGUUGGUUCAACCGCAGAUGUAAAUUGUGUUGUUGUUGUUUCUAUAGGAGGGGCUGUAGUUGUAAGCAGAGAUGCAGUUGUAGGUGAGUUUGUUGUUACCUCAGUUGUAGAUUGAGCUGUACUUGUAGGUAGGGAUGUUUUUACUGUCUGCAUUGUGGUGCUUUUUUCAGAUGUAGUUGAUUGUUCAGUUGUAGAUGAUGAAGCAGUUGUGGUUAUUAGUUCAUUUGUAGAUGAUGAAGCAGUUGUGGUUGUUGGUUCAGCUGUAGAUGUAAGUUGUGUUGUUUCUGUAGGAGGGGCUAUAGUUGUAACCCGAGGUGUAGUUGUAGGUGAGUUUGUUGUAACCAGGGUUGUAGAUUGAGCUGUACUUGUUGUAGGUAGGGAUGAUGUUGUUGUCUGCAUUGGGGUGCUUUGUUCAGAUGUAGUUGACUGUUCAGUUUUAGAUGUUGAAGCAGUUGUGGUUUUUGGUUCAGCAGUAGAUGUAAGUUGCAUUGUCUCUGCUGGAGGGCCUGGAGUUGUAAGAAGAGUUGCAGUUGUAGGUGAGUUUGUUGUAACCUCAGUUGUCGAUUGUGCUGAACUUGUGGUAGGUGGUGGUGAUGUUGUUGCUGUCUCUGUUGUUGUGCUUUGUUCAGAUGUAGUUGACUGUUCAGUUUUAGAUGUUGAAGCAGUUGUGGUUGUUGGUUCAGAAGUAGAUGUAAGUUGCGUUGUCUCUGUUGGAGGGCCUGGAGUUGAAAGAAGAGUUGCAGUUGUAGGUGAGUUUGUUGUAAUCUCAGUUGUAGAUUGAGCUGUACUUGUUGUAGAUAGGGAUGUUGUUGCCGCCUGCGUUGUGGUGCUGUGUUCAGAUGUAGUUGAUUGUUCAGUUGUAGAUGUUGAAGCAGUUGUGGUUGUUAGUACAGUUGUAUAUGAUGAAUCAGUUGUGGUUGUUGGUUCAUUUGUAGAUGAUAAAACAGUUGUGGUUGUUGGUUCAGCAGAAGAUGUAAGUUGUGUUGUUGUUUCUGUAGGAGGGGCUGAAGUUGUAACCUGCGAUGUAGUUGUAGGCGAGUUUUUUGUAACCAGGGUUGUAGAUUGAGCUGUACUUGUUGUAGGUAGGGAUGAUGUUGUUGUCUGCAUUGGGGUGCUUUGUUCAGAUGUAGCUGAUUGUUCAGUUGUAGAUGUUGAAGCAGUUGUGGUUGUUAGUUCAGUUGUAGAUGUAAGUUGUGUUGUUGUUGUUUCUGUAGGAGGGCCUGGAGUUGUAAGCAGAGUUGCAGUUGUAGGUGAGUUUGUUGUAACCUCAGUUGUAGAUUCAGCUGUACUUGUUGUAAGUAGGGAUAUUGUUGCCAUCUGUGUUGUGGUGCUUUGUUCUGAUGUAGUUGAUUGUUCUGUUGUAGAUGUUAAAACAGUUGUGAUUAUUGGUUCAGCCGUAGAUGUAAGUUGUGUUGUUGUUGUUUCUGUAGGAGGGCCUGGAGUUGUAAGCAAAGUUGCAGUUGUAGGUGAGUUUGUUGUAACCUCAGUUGUAGAUGGGGCUGUACUUGUUGUAGAUAGGGAUGUUGUUGCCGUCUGCGUUGUGGUGCUGUGUUCAGAUGUAGUUGAUUGUUCUGUCGUAGAUGUUAAAACAGUUGUGGUUGUUGGUUCAGGUGUAGAUGAUGAAGCAGUUGUGGUUGUUAGUUCAGUUGUAGAUGUAAGUUGUGUUGUUGUUGUUUCUGUAGGAGGGCCUGGAGUUGUAAGCAGAGUUGCAGUUGUAGGUGAGUUUGUUGUAACCUCACUUGUAGAUUGAGCUGUACUUGUUGUAAGUAGGGAUAUUGUUGCCAUCUGUGUUGUGGUGCUUUGUUCUGAUGUAGUUGAUUGUUCUGUUGUAGAUGUUAAAACAGUUGUGAUUAUUGGUUCAGCCGUAGAUGUAAGUUGUGUUGUUGUUGUUUCUGUAGGAGGGCCUGGAGUUGUAAGCAGAGUUGCAGUUGUAGGUGAGUUUGUUGUAACCUCAGUUGUAGAUUGAGCUGUACUUGUUGUAGAUAGGGAUGUUGUUGCUGUCUGCGUUGUGGUGCUGUGUUCAGAUGUAGUUGAUUGUUCUGUUGUAGAUGAUGAAUCAGUUGUGGUUGUUGGUUCAGCUGUAGAUGAUGAAUCAGUUGUGGUUGUUGGUUCAGCUGUAGAUGUAAGUUUUGUUGUUGUUUCUGUAGGAGGGGCUGUAAUUGUAACCUGUGAUGUAGUUAUAGGUGAGUUUGUUGUAACCAGGGUUGUAGAUUGAGCUGUACUUGUUGUAGGUAAGGAUGAUGUUGUUGUCUGCAUUGGGGUGCUUUGUUCAGAUGUAGUUGAUUGUUCAGUUGUAGAUGUUGAAGCAGUUGUGGUUGUUAGUUCAGUUGUAGAUGUAAGUUGUGUUGUUGUUGUUUCUGUUGGAGGGCCUGGAGUUGUAAGCAGAGUUGCAGUUGUAGGUGAGUUUGUUGUAACCUCAGUUGUAGAUUGAGCUGUACUUGUUGUAGGUAGGGAUGUUGUUGCCGUCUGUGUUGUGGUGCUUUGUCCUGAUUUAGUUGAUUGUUCUGUUGUAGAUGUUAAAAUAGUUGUGGUUGUUGGUUCAGCUGUAGAUGAUGAAUCAGUUGUGGUUGUUGGUUCAGCUGUAGAUGAUGAAUCAGUUGUGGUUUUUGGUUCAGCUGUAGAUGUAAGUUUUGUUGUUGUUUCUGUAGGAGGGGCUGUAAUUGUAACCUGUGAUGUAGUUAUAGGUGAGUUUGUUGUAACCAGGGUUGUAGAUUGAGCUGUACUUGUUAUAGGUAAGGAUGAUGUUGUUGUCUGCAUUGGGCUGCUUUGUUCAGAUGUAGUUGAUUGUUCAGUUGUAGGUGUUGAAGCAGUUAUGGUUGUUAGUUCAGUUGUAGAUGAUGAAGCAGUUGUGGUUGUUGGUUCAGCAGUAGAUGUAAGUCUUGUUGUUUCUGUAGGAGGGGUUGUAGUUGUAGGUGAGUUUGUUGUAACCUCAGUUGUAGAUUGAGCUGUACUUGUUGUAGGUAGGGAUGUUGUUGCCGUCUGCGUUGUGGUGCUUUGUUCAGAUGUAGUUGAUUGUUCUGUCGUAGAUGUUAAAACAGUUGUGCUUGUUGGUUCAGCUGUAGAUGAUGAAGCAGUUGUGGUUGUUGGUUCAGUUGUAGAUGUUAAAACAGCUGUGGUUGUUGGUUCAGCUGUAGAUGUAAGUUUUGUUGUUGUUUCUGUAGGAGGGGCUGUAAUUGUAACCUGUGAUGUAGUUAUAGGUGAGUUUGUUGUAACCAGGGUUGUAGAUUGAGCUGUACUUGUUGUAGGUAAGGAUGAUGUUGUUGUCUGCAUUGGGGUGCUUUGUUCAGAUGUAGUUGAUUGUUCAGUUGUAGAUGUUGAAGCAGUCGUGGUUGUUAGUUCAGUUGUAGAUGUAAGUUGUGUUGUUGUUGUUUCUGUUGGAGGGCCUGGAGUUGUAAGCAGAGUUGCAGUUGUAGGUGAGUUUGUUGUAACCUCAGUUGUAGAUUGAGCUGUACUUGUUGUAGGUAGGGAUGAUGUUGUUGUCUGCAUUGGGGUGCUUUGUUCAGAUGUAGUUGAUUGUUCAGUUGUAGGUGUUGAAGCAGUUAUGGUUGUUAGUUCAGUUGUAAACGAUGAAGCAGCUGUGGUUGCUGGUUCAGCAGUAGAUGUAAUUCUUGUUCUUUCUGUAGGAGGUGUUGUAGUUGUAAGCAGAGUUGCAGUUGUAGGUGAGUUUGUUGUAACCUCAGUUGUAGAUUGAGCUGUACUUCUUGAAAGUAGUGAUGUUGUUGCCAUCUGUAUUGUGGUGCUUUGUUCAGAUAUAGUUGAUUGUUCUGUUGUAGAUGUUAAAACAGUUGUGGUUGUUGAUUCAGUUGUAGAUGAUGAAGCAGUUGUGGUUGUUGGUUCAGUUGUAGAUGUUAAAAGAGUUUUGGUUGUUGGUUCAGCUGUAGAUGUAAGUUUUGUUGUUGUUUCUGUAGGAGAGGCUGUAAUUGUAACCCGAGAUGUAGUUGUAGGUGAGUUUGUUGUAACCAGGGUUGUAGAUUGAGCUGUACUUGUUGUAGGUAGGGAAGUUGUUGCCGUCUGCGUUGUGGUGCUGUGUUCAGAUGUAGUUGAUUGUUCUGUCAUAGAUGUUAAAACAGUUGUGGUUGUUGGUUCAGCUGUAGAUGUAAGUUUUGUUGUUGUUUCUGUAGGAGGGGCUGUAAUUGUAACCCGAGAUGUAGUUGUAGGUGAGUUUGUUGUAACCUCAGUUGUAGAUUGAGCUGUACUUGUUGUAGGUAGGGAUGUUGUUGCCAUCUGCAUUGUGGUGCUGUGUUCAGAUGUAGUUGAUUGUUCUGUCAUAGAUGUUAAAACAGUUGUGGUUGUUGGUUCAGCUGUAGAUGUAAGUUUUGUUGUUUCUGUAGGAGGGGCUGUAAUUGUAACCCGAGAUGUAGUUGUAGGUGAGUUUGUUGUAACCAGGGUUGUAGAUUGAGCUGUACUUGUUGUAGGUAGGGAUGAUGUUGUUGUCUGCAUUGGGGUGCUUUGUUCAGAUGUAGUUGAUUGUUCAGUUGAAGAUGUUAAAACAGUUGUGGUUGUUGGUUCAGCUGUAGAUGAUGAAGCAGUUGUGGUUGUUGGUUCAACCGUAGAUGUAAGUUGUGUUGUUGUUGUUUCUGUAGGAGGGGCUGUAGUUGUAAGCAGAGUUGCAGUUGUAGGUGAGAUUGUUGUAACCUCAGUUGUAGAUUGAGCUGUACUUGUUGUAGGUAGGGAUUUUGUUCCUGUCUGUGUUGUGGUGCUUUGUUCUGAUGUAGUUGAUUGUUCUGUUGUAGAUGUUAAAACAGUUGUGGUUGUUGGUUCAGCUGUAGAUGAUGAAGCAAUUGUGGUUGUUGGUUCAGCUGUAGAUGAUGAAGCAGUUGUGGUUGUUGGUUCAACCGUAGAUGUAAGUUGUGUUGUUGUUGUUUCUGUAGGAGGGGCUGUAGUUGUAAGCAGAGUUGCAGUUGUAGGUGAGAUUGUUGUAACCUCAGUUGUAGAUUGAGCUGUACUUGUUGUAGGUAGGGAUUUUGUUCCUGUCUGUGUUGUGGUGCUUUGUUCUGAUGUAGUUGAUAGUUCAGUUGUAGAUGUUGAAACAGUUAUGGUUGUUGGUUCAGCUGUAGAUGUAAGUUUUGUUGUUGUUUCUGUAGGAGGGGCUGAAAUUGUAAUCCGAGAUGUAGUUGUAGGUGAGUUUGUUGUAACCAGGGUUGUAGAUUGAGCUGUACUUGUUGUAGGUAGGGAUGAUGUUGUUGUCUGCUUUGGGGUGCUUUGUUCAGAUGUAGUUGAUUGUUCAGUUGUAGGUGUUGAAGCAGUUGUGGUUUUUGGUUCAGUUGUAGAUGUUGCAGCAGUUGUGGUUUUUGGUUCAGCCGUAGAUGUAAGUUGUGUUGUUGUUGUUUCUGUAGGAGGAGCUGUAGUUGUAAGCAGAGUUGUAGUUGUGGGUGAGUUUGUUGUAACCUCAGUUGUAGAUUGAGCUGUACUUGUUGUAGGUAGGGAUGAAUUUGCUGACUGCAUUGUGGUGCUUUGUUCAGAUGUAGUUGAUUGCUCAGUUGUGAGUUGUGUUGUUUUUUCUGUAGGAAGGCUUGUAGUUGUAAGCCGAGUUUUAGUUGUAGCUGUGUUUGUUCUAACAGUCGUAGAUUCAGUUGUUGCAGUUAUAGGUGAGUUUGUUGAUUCAGGUGUUUGUGUUGGUUUGGCAGUGGUUGUAAACAGAGUUUCAGUUGUUGUUGAACAGUAUUGUAUAUGCUGUUGUGUCAGUUGUAAGCAGAAUUGUGUCGUUUGUGCAGGUGAGUAUGAUGUGACAGUCAUAGAUUCAGUUGUAGGUGAGUUUGCUGACUCAGCUGAUGCGCUACAAAACACUGUUGUUAAAAUCAAAAGUACAAAGCAAUUUUAGAGCAAUUUUCAUAUUUAAAUAAGUAACAAGAGAAAUAAGGAAUCUGGAUGUUCAGUAACUUACAGACCUAAACUUAACAAUGCAAUUGUCAGUGUUUUUCUACUCAUCUUGGUAGCUGUCAAAUAGACCACCUGUAAACAUAUAAUACAUAACAUUAACAAACAUGUAAUGAAUGGCAUCAGUUUUGGCAUGUCAGUGAAGUGAGAAAAAAUUAAUAGUACACCCUCUUUCCAGAUAUUUAAUAUGUUUUUUUUUGUCUUGUUUUGUUUUAUUUUCCUGUGAAUGAAAGACGAUUUGUCAUUUUUGCACAGUCCACAUUAAUGAAGAUGAAAGUAGUUAUGAUCAAUAAAAACACAUGGGAAGAAUUACACUACCAUUCAAACGUUUAAG
Molecule: long non-coding RNA, 8059 nt
Organism: Cyprinus carpio carpio
Lineage: Eukaryota; Metazoa; Chordata; Actinopteri; Cypriniformes; Cyprinidae
Source: Ensembl